UGUGGCUCCUGUGUGUGGCGGCGGCGGUCUUGGCAUGGGGCUUCCUCUGGGUUUGGGACUCCUCAGAACGAAUGAAGAGUCGGGAGCAAGGAGGACGGCUGGGAGCCGAAAGCCGGACCCUCCUGGUCAUAGCGCACCCUGACGAUGAAGCCAUGUUUUUUGCUCCCACAGUGCUAGGCUUGGCCCGCCUAAGGCACUGGGUGUACCUGCUCUGCUUCUCUGCAGGAAAUUACUACAAUCAAGGAGAGACUCGUAAGAAAGAACUUUUGCAGAGCUGUGAUGUUUUGGGGAUUCCACUCUCCAGUGUAAUGAUUAUUGACAACAGGUAAUAUAUCUUUUAACAAUGUAGAAAUUUAUUGGCAAUAAAUAUGCAGUGAUAUACUCAAAAGACACAC
Molecule: small RNA, 395 nt
Filed under: Pongo abelii (Sumatran orangutan)
Lineage: Eukaryota; Metazoa; Chordata; Mammalia; Primates; Hominidae
Description: retained intron
Source: RNAcentral